Molecule: long non-coding RNA, 1052 nt
Organism: Corylus avellana
Lineage: Eukaryota; Viridiplantae; Streptophyta; Magnoliopsida; Fagales; Betulaceae
Source: RefSeq, a predicted model, not a curated record
CUCAUUUCAUAGGGUUUAGACUUUAGACUCACACGCCGAGCUACGUCUCCCUGGCGGGGCGGAGGGGCGGAGUUGGGGGGGAGUUUGAUUCGCUUACCGGCGGUCUCUAAUUCGCUUGGUGCAGGUCGGGAACUGCUUCGCUUUUGCCCUUAGAACACAUACAUGUUUGGGAGUACUGUUUAAGUUUUUUUAGCCAGCUGGCGCGUUGCGAUUGGCUGGCUGGCUGGCAGUGCUCGUGUGGGGGGAAUAUAGGCGAAUUGGAUCCCGCCUUGCAUCAACUGAAUCGGAGACCGCGGUGAAGAGUGGUUGCAUGGAUCUCGCGUUUUACGUUGCAGGUAUUGCAGUUACAGACCAUUUCCAUGUCCACCCUAUAGUUUUUCUAGGCAUCUUCUGUAAUGCACUUUGGACUGUUCAGUAGUGUUUGGUACCCAAAUGGACCUCUCCAUUUAAAGCCAAACAAAGAGAAUCCAAUGGUCCAUAAAAGCUGUAUCGAAUUGGUACAUGGCUCGAUAGAGGGUCAAGAAACAAGAAACCUUAGUAAACCCACAUGGUACCGUUGUGAAUAGUUAGAUCUUAAAAGGGAUCACACUUCCCAUCAAUUGAUGCAGAGACGGCACUGUAGGUGGCAGAAUCGCAGAGAUGUUCAGUUUAUGUCUUAGGCUGACGUGACAAUGUUCAUCCGUGUCAAAGAUCCGAGGCAAUGCAAUAUGGGGCAAGGUAUGCGAGUACAGUGAUGGGCUCAUAGGUGCUUAAUAAGACAAGUAUUGCACUGGAUCUUUAUCCCAGACGAAGGUGGCAGCUAUGAGAUAGAAAAUUUGAAUAAGACUUGGGGGAAUUUGGAGAUGACUUAUGUUGAUAUGACUGCCAUAGUGGAAGCUGAAAUUAGGAUGGAGACAUGGAUGUUGAUUUACCAGAAUGUGCUUGUUGGCUUCUAUUCAUUGUCGUACAUUAUAGUCACAUAGACCACCAUUUUCAAACAUUCUGGGGUCACCUUUUUCCCUUUUCCUGGAAUUUCCUUUUCAAGAAAAUUCUAGAGCGAUUCCUUUGGAAUA